GUAAAGAAUAGCCACAAGGGAAAAGGGAACUCUCCUAUGCGAACCCUAAUUAAAAGAUUAGGCAAAAGAUAUCAGAAUUUAGGCACUUCUUGUGCUGCUGUUAAUAGAUCUUUUGGCUUUUUCAAAAAAAAAAAAAAAGAUUAGGCAAAAGCUAAUCUCAAACGACUCUUGUUGUUGUUGCUCCUUGCGUUUUUUUCCCAUGUUGUUGUUCGCCGAUGCGUCGUGUACCCUCAGUGCUAAAGUCAUAAGUACCACCGAGUUGCUUCAAUUGGAACAAAACGCAAAAACAGGUGCACGUUAUGAACAUAGAGCUUCCACCGCCGAAGGAGCAAUAUAUUUUAUAUUUUGAGCAAAUUCAGAUCAGUUUCCGAAGCAUCAAUUUCGACAUGUUCUGCAGUUGUCGCAUUUUCGGCGUUGUUGCAUUCUUGCUUCUUUGAGUUGUUGUGUUCUCGUUGUUGCUACAUUCAUUCUUCAUUAUGUUGUUCAGCAAGAUAUCAAUGAAGAAGAUGAUGAGAAUGACGAUUUAAGUGAUGAGGAUGAAAUAGGUGAUGAACUUCAAUAGGACGACAUAAAUGAUGAACUUCAAGAGGACGACAUAGGUGAUGAAGAGGAUGAUGAAGAUGACGAUGAGUUUGACAAAUUUAAAUGAGUUAGACGUUGUUGUUAUAGGCUUGUACUUACGCAUUAAGCUUAAAGAAGUUAUGUAUUUACUAGACUCAUACUUCUAAGUGUUAGCUUAUAGUAUUAAGUGAUGCCAGACAUUUUGUGUUUCUUAAGUGUAUUUGAGUUAAUGUUUGAAGAUUUUAUUGACACAGCUUUUGUGGUACAUGCAAUUUAUGAUUGAUGCAAUUCUUCUUUGAGUUCUUUAUUUUAUAAAAUAUAUGGUAAAAAAAAUUUCUAAGUAACUUAUAGAAACAUUUAUUAAGCUUUCUUAUUAUUUCACUUUUAGGGAACAAUUUGUAAUAGUUAU
Molecule: long non-coding RNA, 970 nt
Organism: Vicia villosa (hairy vetch)
Lineage: Eukaryota; Viridiplantae; Streptophyta; Magnoliopsida; Fabales; Fabaceae
Exons: 4
Source: RefSeq, a predicted model, not a curated record